Molecule: ribosomal RNA, 525 nt
Filed under: uncultured bacterium
Lineage: Bacteria
Description: partial 16S ribosomal RNA
Source: RNAcentral
ACGCUAUCUGGAGGUUACCGCGGCUGCUGGCACGGAGUUAGCCGGUGCUUCUUCUGUGAGUGAUGUCCUUCCUGCCGGUUAUUGACCCGCAGGCCUUCUUCCUCACUGAAAGUGCUUUACAACCCGAAGGCCUUCUUCACACACGCGGCAUGGCUGGAUCAGGGUUGCCCCCAUUGUCCAAUAUUCCCCACUGCUGCCUCCCGUAGGAGUCUGGGCCGUGUCUCAGUCCCAGUGUGGCUGAUCAUCCUCUCAGACCAGCUACGGAUCGUCGCCUUGGUGAGCCGUUACCUCACCAACCAGCUAAUCCGACAUAGGCUCAUCCGAUAGCGCGAGGCCCGAAGGUCCCCCGCUUUCCCCCGUAGGGCGUAUUCGGUAUUAGCCUGGGUUUCCCCAGGUUAUCCCCCACUACCGGGCAGAUUCCUAUGCAUUACUCACCCGUCCGCCGCUCGCCACCAGGGAGCAAGCUCCCCGUGCUGCCGCUCGACUUGCAUGUGUUAGGCCUGCCGCCAGCGUUCAAUCUGAACC